Molecule: RNA transcript, 2014 nt
Organism: Cervus elaphus (red deer)
Lineage: Eukaryota; Metazoa; Chordata; Mammalia; Artiodactyla; Cervidae
Gene: LZTFL1
Gene name: leucine zipper transcription factor like 1
Exons: 11
Source: RefSeq, a predicted model, not a curated record
GUCGCGUGCGUCUGUUUCCGUUAGCAACGCUCCUAAACAAGCCGUCCUGCCUCCGCGUCUGGCGCGGUCUAGUGUUUCUCUGCGACCCCGGGCCUGGUGAGGCUGAGCUUGGCCUCUCCCGCUUUUCCAGACCGCUGACUGCCCCCCGCCUCAAUGGCAGAGUUGGGUCUAAAUGAGCACCAUCAAAAUGAAGUUAUUAAUUAUAUGCGUUUUGCUCGCUCAAAAAGAGGCUUGAGACUCAAAACUGUGGAUUCCUGCUUCCAGGACCUCAAGGAGAGCAGGCUUGUGGAGGAGACCUUCACCGUCGAUGAAGUCUCUGAGGUGCUGAAUGGGUUGCAGUCUGUGGUCCACAGCGAAGUGGAGUCUGAGCUCAUCAACACGGCCUACACCAACGUGCUGCUUCUGCGGCAACUUUUCUCACAGGCCGAGAAGUGGUACCUCAAGCUGCAGACAGAUAUCUCUGAACUUGAAAACAGAGAAUUAUUAGAGCAAGUUGCAGAAUUUGAAAAAGCGGAAUUUAUAUCUUCAAAUAAAAAGUCCAUCAUAGACAGUAUGAAGCCAAAACUUGCUCCACUUCAUGAAGGUGGAGCAGCAGAACUCCUGAACAAGGAAAUUAUAAGACUUCAAGAAGAGAAUGAGAGAUUGAAGUCAAGACUGAAGACCAUUGAAUCACAGGCAACAAAUGCGUUGGAUGAGAAAUCAAAGCUGGAAAGAGCACUGCAGGAUUUACAGCUUGAGCAGGGGAAUCAGAAGGAUUUUAUAAAGGCCCAAGACUUGAGUGACUUGGGAAACACAGUUGCUGCUUUAAAGAGUGAGUUUCAGAAGACACUUAAUGACCAGACAGAAAACCAGAAAUCCCUGGAGGAGAAUCUAGCGACGGCCAAGCAUGACCUACUCAGGGUGCAGGAGCAGCUGAGCAUGGCUGAAAAGGAAUUAGAGAAGAAAUUCCAACAAACAGCGGCUUAUCGAAACAUGAAGGAGAUUCUUACCAAGAAGAAUGACCAAAUCAAAGACCUGAGGAAAAGACUGGCAAAAUAUGAACCUGAAGAUUAAAAACUGAUGAUUUCAUCUGGAAGCUGCCACAAUAUGAAAGUACAAACCCUUUCUCACCUCAGGUUUUAUAUUAAAAUACUGAAGGAGCAAAUGAUAAAGGGUAAGAUAACGUCCCCCUGAAAGGACACAGAAGGCAGUCUCUAAAAGAUGGCUGAGUGAGGGGAGUGAGGGAGGAAGCCCGUCCUGAGCAGCCCCGCCUGCGUGGUCACUCCUCGCCCGGCCCUCACUGUGCGGGCACGCCUUGGGGUCUGGGUCCUUUUAGAGCUUCCACUGAGUAUUCCAGUCACACACCACACUUCUCUAGGCCAGAAUUCACUCUCCAAAAACUAUGCCAUUAUUCAAUGGGCCAGGAUGCUCUAUUAAAUUCAGAAACAGACUCUUUUUUAAAUGGCUUGGUAUCUUUUAAAAACCAUGUGUUUUCUUCUUACCUUAGUUUGAUGCAUAGGGAAGAAAGUUAUGUUGAAAAACCUAUGUUGCUAGGUAGAAUUUCAGCUUAGUAUUUUUUUCUUUUUUGAUAGCACCUUUGAAAUAUUCUGUAUAUCCAGCUCAAUAAUAAAUCAAAAGUCUUUAUGAUACCAUAAAACCUAACUAUGCCCUGCAUUAAGAUAGAUAAAUGUGACAUUCCUUGGCAUAAAUUAACAGGAUGAUUCUUCACCAUAUAAAUACUUUUUGUGCCUGCUUGUGUCAGUGUGUGAGAGUGUAACUCAUGUGCUUAGCAAAAUGCAGUACUGAAGUUUUUUUUUUUUUUAACAUUUUCCUAGUCUUAUCUCAUUUAACUAAGACAGUCUUUUUAGUUGCUGUAUUUUGCAUUUUUAAGAAGGUCGCCUCAAGCCCUGAUUGAACUUUCAGUGUGCUAAGCUCUACGGACUGCACAGUAGCUGUCACAAUGCAACUUUAGUUUAGCUUAAAUACUCAAGGCUCGUGUUAAAUUAUGACUCAGACCUUUAUGGACAAAAAUAAA